AUAGACCCGAACGAACAAACACAACUGGAAAUAA
This 34-nucleotide small RNA is filed under the name Anaerobutyricum hallii. RNAcentral's name for it is "CRISPR_Spacer". Lineage: Bacteria; Bacillati; Bacillota; Clostridia; Lachnospirales; Lachnospiraceae. The record is from RNAcentral.